Molecule: ribosomal RNA, 36 nt
Filed under: Pelobates cultripes (western spadefoot toad)
Lineage: Eukaryota; Metazoa; Chordata; Amphibia; Anura; Pelobatidae
Description: SSU_rRNA_eukarya
Source: RNAcentral
AGGGAGCCUGAGAAACAGCUACCACAUCCAAGGAAG